UACGGAGGGGGCUAGCGUUGUUCGGAAUUACUGGGCGUAAAGCGCACGUAGGCGGAAUUGUAAGUCAGGGGUGAAAUCCCGGGGCUCAACCUCGGAAUUGCCUUCGAUACUGUUAGUCUUGAGUCCGGGAGAGGUGAGUGGAAUUCCUAGUGUAGAGGUGAAAUGCGUAGAUAUUAGGAAGAACACCAGUGGCGAAGGCGGCUCACUGGCCCGGUACUGACGCUCAUGUGCGAAAGCGUGGGGAGCAAACAGG
Molecule: ribosomal RNA, 253 nt
Filed under: uncultured bacterium
Lineage: Bacteria
Description: partial 16S ribosomal RNA
Rfam family: Bacterial small subunit ribosomal RNA
Source: RNAcentral